This 253-nucleotide ribosomal RNA is filed under the name uncultured bacterium. RNAcentral's name for it is "partial 16S ribosomal RNA". It matches the Rfam family "Bacterial small subunit ribosomal RNA", at positions 524 to 776 of the family's 1533-position model. The record is from RNAcentral.
UACGUAGGGUCCGAGCGUUGUCCGGAAUUAUUGGGCGUAAAGAGCUCGUAGGCGGUUUGUCGCGUCUGCUGUGAAAUCCCGAGGCUCAACCUCGGGCCUGCAGUGGGUACGGGCAGACUGGAGUGCGGUAGGGGAGAGUGGAAUUCCUGGUGUAGCGGUGGAAUGCGCAGAUAUCAGGAGGAACACCGAUGGCGAAGGCAGUUCUCUGGGCCGUAACUGACGCUGAGGAGCGAAAGCGUGGGGAGCGAACAGG